Molecule: ribosomal RNA, 579 nt
Filed under: uncultured bacterium
Lineage: Bacteria
Description: partial 16S ribosomal RNA
Rfam family: Bacterial small subunit ribosomal RNA
Source: RNAcentral
UGGGGAAUAUUGGACAAUGGGCGCAAGCCUGAUCCAGCAAUGCCGCGUGUGUGAAGAAGGCCUUCGGGUUGUAAAGCACUUUUAUCAGGAGCGAAACGCUGUCGGCUAAUACCCGGCGGAACUGACGGUACCUGGGGAAUAAGCACCGGCUAACUUCGUGCCAGCAGCCGCGGUAAUACGAAGGGUGCAAGCGUUAAUCGGAAUUACUGGGCGUAAAGCGUGCGUAGGCGGUUUCUUAAGUCUGCUGUGAAAUCCCCGGGCUCAACCUGGGAAUGGCAGUGGAUACUGGGAGGCUAGAGUGUGUCAGAGGGUGGUGGAAUUCCCGGUGUAGCGGUGAAAUGCGUAGAGAUCGGGAGGAACAUCAGUGGCGAAGGCGGCCACCUGGGACAACACUGACGCUGAGGCACGAAAGCGUGGGGAGCAAACAGGAUUAGAUACCCUGGUAGUCCACGCCCUAAACGAUGCGAACUGGAUGUUGGUCUCAACUCGGAGAUCAGUGUCGAAGCUAACGCGUUAAGUUCGCCGCCUGGGGAGUACGGUCGCAAGACUGAAACUCAAAUGAAUUGACGGGGUCAUAGC